RNAcentral lists this transfer RNA (73 nucleotides) under Planctomycetota bacterium. Its description in RNAcentral is "tRNA-Glu". It matches the Rfam family "tRNA". Rfam says of the family: Transfer RNA (tRNA) molecules are approximately 80 nucleotides in length. Their secondary structure includes four short double-helical elements and three loops (D, anti-codon, and T loops). The record is from RNAcentral. RNAcentral also lists the same sequence under 1 other name. Lineage: Bacteria; Pseudomonadati; Planctomycetota.
GGCCCCGUCGUCUAGAGGCCUAGGACACCGGCCUUUCACGCCGGAAACACGGGUUCGAUUCCCGUCGGGGUCA